GGUUGCUCUACUCCCUGUUCUGUUUUGUGUCUCUCUAUCUGACGACUCUUCCAAAAAUCCUGCUCCAGUUCUUGUCCCUCCAGGACUUGAUACCAGUUCCGCACCCUUAAGGGUUCUUGCAUAGGUGGUGAAUGUCUGUCUCUUUCUUUUCUAUAUUCUCGUCGCUCUCUAUUUUGUGUAACUUCUUGAUUGUAGGGUCUAUGUUCUUCCCUCUC
Non-coding RNA from Pelobates cultripes (western spadefoot toad), 215 nucleotides. Lineage: Eukaryota; Metazoa; Chordata; Amphibia; Anura; Pelobatidae. The record is from the annotation of a GenBank genome assembly.